GUUUCUAAGAGUGCGUGUAAGGAGGGGUUGCUCAAAUGCAGGAUGUUAUAUAAGCUACACAUGCUCUCCAAAAAUACUUCAAUAAAGAUCAAUAAAACAAUAAUCAGCCCUGGUAAGAAUAAAGUCUGUCUCUAUAAUUUUUGUUUCAUUUUCGUCACGGUUGUAGUUGUCUCUGUUCAUAAACGUCAGAGUAAUCUGUGCUCAUGAUGAAGUUUCUUUCUUACGACAGAAGAAUCUUUGAAGCCGUAAAUAUGAACUGUGCUGUUAAUAUUGCUGAUUAGUCUUUUGAUUGAUAUUUUGACUGAAAUGUUGGGUCUACGCCACGGUGUGAGUCACUCCUCUUAAACAUUUCUACAUUGCGAGACAUAUGAAGUGCAUUUGCAUGUAAAGUUUUGAUUUUUUUUUUUUUUUUUAAAAGCCUUUCUCGUUGCAAUUGCUGAAUUCAUUUUCAAAAGAGUUGCAAGGUCUUGAGAACAAAAGUCGACGUCCAUUGAAGAUCAUCAUCGAAAUAACUUGCGAACAGCUUUUCAUGAGCGUAUGAAAAACUUGCUGCCCUUUUCCCAACGAUGUUUAACGUAAUAAUAAUAUUGCUACAAUACUUUGGAGGUGAAAUACGUUUUUUUUCUUACUUUUGAUGAAAAUUAGUAAAUUUUCUCUCAAAAUUAUUCUUAUUAAAAUAAUGGAAUCAAUUCGUUCAGUUAUCAAGAAAUUAGACUUUAUUUGAGCAUUUGAUCAAAACAAAAUCAUUCAUCUUUUUCAACGAUGACGUACGGAGAUAACUUUCGACGUGUGAGGGUUAUUUUCACCAGUAGUAGCUUCCGUAGGCUGCUGGGGCGUAACCGUAGCCGUAAGCUCCGUAGGCGGCCGGAGCGUAGGCGUAAGGGUAUCAGAGGACGUUUGUCAAUUCUUUUCACCAGUAGUAGCUUCCGUAGGCCGCUGGGGCGUAACCGUAGCCGUAAGCUCCGUAGGCGGCCGGGGCGUAGGCAACUACGGCGGCCGGAGCGGGGGAGAGGGCGGUGGCGGCGUAGGCGUGAGGGUAGGCGGCCGGGGCGUAGGCAACUGCGGCUCCCGGGUAGUCGGCGAAGAAGACGGCGCGCUUGGCGCGGGGCAGAGGAGAGGCGGAGACAGCCGCGAAAGCCAAUACGAGGGCGACCUGGGAAAUAA
This 1164-nucleotide long non-coding RNA is filed under the name Bemisia tabaci. RNAcentral describes it as "lncRNA ENSSSA1UGG011968". Lineage: Eukaryota; Metazoa; Arthropoda; Insecta; Hemiptera; Aleyrodidae. The record is from RNAcentral.